Long non-coding RNA from Oxyura jamaicensis (ruddy duck), 2163 nucleotides. RefSeq lists it as uncharacterized. The transcript has 2 exons. The record is from RefSeq and is a predicted model, not a curated record. Lineage: Eukaryota; Metazoa; Chordata; Aves; Anseriformes; Anatidae.
AGAAACAGCUCUGCUACUUCAGCUCUGCUCACCUUGGAAAUUGAAUUUAAAGCACUGACCAUGUGUAACAGCAAUGUCUGAUUCACAUUAUAGACGUGUUAGUGAGACACAGAUGAGCACCUACCUACAUCUCAUCAGCUGAGCAGCUCUCCUGACUCUACUGAGCUCACCAUCUCGGUGACCUCCUGGCCUGGGGCUCUGUUUGCUGCCCACAUUUGGUGGCAGGUACCAGGUGAGACACCCAGGCACACCUGAGGCCACCAGCCAACAGAGGACUGAUGGAAGAGGACUAAUAGAUGAGCAGAGGAUGAGCAGAGGACUAAUGGAAGAGUGUUGCCUUCUGGAGCUGCUCACAGAGAUUAAAAUAACAGAAGAGGGACAACAAACGAUGUCAGGAAGAUGUGCCUGAGCAUGUGAAAUGAAGAGUGUGAGUAAAUAGGACAGCUGGCUUCGGAGCAGUUCCGCAUCCUGAUUGAUGCCAGGCAAGCAGAGAGGUGGCAGUGAUGGUCACUGACCUCCCAGAGGAGCACUCGUGGGAGAGGAGGUGGGUGGACACAGGAGGGAAGUCUUUAAUGAUGGAGCAGCCUUGUCUCGCCUGAAGGAUGGAGCUGACUUGUUUGGAGGCAAGGCAGAGACCACCAGGCAUGCAGGCAUUUAUGUUCCUCUCUAUCUCCACUUUCCCCUUCCUCUGCCAGGCAGCUCUGUGGACCUCAAGGUGCUUAUGAAGACCAUAUGCCUUCAGAAGGGAUUUCUGUCUUGGGCGUGUUAUCUCAAGUACUCCACAGAGAUCGCAGAAAACUCUCCAGCAAAUUCUUCUCCAUCUCAGAAGUGAGUGCCAGGACCUGUCACAGGCUGAGGGACAUUUACAGCCUGCUGGGUCAUACAGAGAAGAGCCACAGCACUUGGCUGGGGAAUGGCCCCUCUCUCAGGGCUCAUUUCAAGCCCAAUGCCCCUUGAUGGAUAUUGUCCCUCUGGCCCCUUUCUUCUGCUCUGAAAGACCACGCACCAGAAGCUGCUUGUCUGUGGAUGAUCUGCCAACCAGCUGUGGAGCACGUGGAGUCACAGAGCAAGAGAAAGGCUCCAGCAACACACUGCAAAUGGAUGGGACGACCUCCUUUAUGAGAGAUGGUGUGGAGGGAGCCAACUGCGUGACUCCUGCACUCUGCGUGGGGUGGCAGAGGUCUCGCUUGCUCCACGCCUCCAGCUGACUGCUGCUGCUGCUGCAAAAGGGGAAAGGCCCAGGAGCCCAUUUCCAGCUCACACAAGCAUCCCCGGUUGCUCACUGUGGCUCAGAUGUAGAAAAGGGCUUGGAUUUGUUGCUCGGAGCAGUCGUGCUGCGGCAUAUAGCAGUAAGCCUUCUCAACAUGUCUGCACGAAGGACGAACCUGACACUUCUGAGCCUGUAGCUGAGCGCCAAAUGGAAAACAGAGACUAGCGAAGGGGUUUUUUUCCACCUCUGGUUUUGUGGGGGAGAAAACUGUAAAAUUUUGCUCAAAAGCAGUUUUGUGUCUGCAAACAGGAUUUAUUUUUAUGAGAUUUAUUUUUAAUUCCAUCCAGAUGUUUAUUUAUAAAAUAAUUUAGGACUUAUAUCCAAACAGACAUCAAAGAAACCUUCUGGGAGUAGCACUGUCAGUAGCAAAGGGUUUUAAUGAUCCACAAGGCGAGUGAAUGGGUUUGAAGAGUGUCAGAGUGCCUUGGGGGAGAGCAUGCAUGGAUCCAAUUAGGAACCCCUUCUGAGGUCCCUCCGACAUGGCAGGAAAGAUGCCUCCUUUGGGAGCGGGAUGCCAACUAUUACACACAGCGUCAUUUGGGGUAUUGCAGAGCACACACGCUUCCCUGAAGACACUACCAGGAAAAUACCUGUCUUAAAGAGUGCCCCAUAAGCUAGCCAUAAUGACAAUACCCUCAGGCCAUUCCCAGCCCUUGGUGGAGGUGGGUGACCCAGGCAGGGCACGUGGGGAGCAGCCGUGCACCCGUUGUGGUUUCCCAGACCUGGGGCAUGUGCUGCUGCCAGAGCCCCUGUGCCAACACGAGGCCAGGGUUGUCCUGCUGGGGUGGUCUGGAAGGCGCCAGAUGCCCCAGGUGCUCCCAAGACUACCCUGUAGUAUCCCUAAUUCCCUUUCAUGCAGCCUGUAAAUCCCACCUCUCCUUGCAGCAGGUGAU